This 468-nucleotide ribosomal RNA is filed under the name uncultured bacterium. Its description in RNAcentral is "partial 16S ribosomal RNA". It matches the Rfam family "Bacterial small subunit ribosomal RNA", at positions 28 to 507 of the family's 1533-position model. The record is from RNAcentral.
GACGAACGCUGGCGGCGUGCUUAACACAUGCAAGUCGAACGGAAAGGCCCUGCUUUUGUUGGGUUCUCGAGUGGCGAACGGGUGAGUAACACGUGAGUAACCUGCCCUUGACUUUGUGAUAACUUCAGGAAACUGGGGCUAAUAUCGGAUAGGAUCUCCUGCUGCAUGUUGGGGGUUGGAAAGUUUCGGCUGUUGGGGAUGGACUCGCGGCUUAUCAGCUUGUUGGUGGGGUAGUGGCUUACCAAGGCUUUGACGGGUAGCCGGCCUGAGAGGGUGACCGGCGACAUUGGGACUGAGAUACGGCCCAGACUCCUACGGGAGGCAGCAGUGGGGAAUAUUGCACAAUGGGCGGAAGCCUGAUGCAGAAACGCCGCGUGCGGGAUGACGGCCUUCGGGUUGUAAACCGCUUUCGCCUGUGACGAAGCGUGAGUGACGGUAAUGGGUAAAGAAGCACCGGCUAACUACGUG